Molecule: long non-coding RNA, 2561 nt
Filed under: Olea europaea subsp. europaea
Lineage: Eukaryota; Viridiplantae; Streptophyta; Magnoliopsida; Lamiales; Oleaceae
Source: RNAcentral
CACAAAUAGAGUAAUGAAGCAAGAGAAUCAACCCAGUAUCUGAGGUAGGAAUUAGUAGCAAAGGAAGCCAAGUUAUGAAUUACCUUGUUUUCAUUGCAAGGAAAAAAAGAGCAAGAACAGUACCAACAUCUCUUAACAAACCAAAAAUAUUAAAGAGAAUAACAACAUUAGAAGCAAGAUUACAAGGAAAAAUAAGCAAAACAAUUAUCAGCUGAGCGUCACAUUCCACCUCUGCCUGCCAUUCUCAUCUCAUUAUCUCUUGCAAAAUAUGCGGUUCUCUUAAGGCGAGUGCCUCAGCAUCACUGGUGAACUAGACCCACUUAUUUGUUUUGUCAAUGCCGCAAUGAGCCUCUUCUUGGUUUAGAAUGACUCCCAAUUCCAAAUAUUCCAGCAUUGGCACAAACAGCUGCAUGUGCUCAGCUUGAGGCAGCCCGGGCAUGGUUUGUUCAAGAUGACUGGGGGUUCAAAUCAAGACCUUGUGGUCAAGGUUGGAUGCUUCCACAAUAUGGUAAGUGAGUCGAGAGCAGCCCAUCUGUAGAAUCCACAAGAUAUCCGCAUCUUUCCCCCACCAAUCCAUGCUCAAAAGAGAUCCCACCAAAUGAACCACUGCUAUGGUUAUGCAAUAAGGUCACCUCAGGAUGAAUCAUAGCAACUCCAGACCAGUCCCCAGAAACCCUUUCUUUUUACCAAACCUAUUUAGAUGAGGCACACAAGAACAACAUAUGAAUACAAUCUUCCAACCCAACUAGGAUCAUUCUUUGCAAACUGAAUUUAGAGGUAAGUGCUUCAUAGAAAUGUUCGCCAAACAAAUACUACCCCAUCCCAUUUAUAUAGGCUUAGUUUCCUUUUUCUCUUGUCUCAAAUAUAUAUGCUUGUUUCUAAAUUUAGAAUAUUUUGUUUUGUUCCUUUAUUAUUAUACCCUUAUUUAAUUUGCCUAGUUACAAUCAAUUUUCCCACUUAAUUUGCCUACUUUUUGAAAUCAUCCAAAUACAUGCACAUUUUCCAAUAAUUUGCCUACUUCUUGAAAUCAAUUUUCAAAUUCUUCACUAAUUCCAACAAUAAUUUACUACUACUUGUUAAAAAUUAAAUGGGGGUAAACUAGAAAAUUUCUUGGCAAAAAUUACUUUUUCAAUAACAUUAAAUAAGAUUUUUUAAUCCGUAUGAAAAACAAAACAAGCCUAUAUGAAUGGGACGAAUGGAGUAAUACGUAUUUUUGGUGGCACUCUAAGUUCCAGACAUCCCUCCACCAAGAUUGAAGGUACUGCCACUUGGCCCAACCAAGGUUCGCAAGCCACUAAGCAGAAAUUUAUACCCACUCCGAGCUGUAUAUUAGCCACUUGUAUCAAAGUGCCAAAUUAACUUAUCUGCUUAAUAAAUUGAUAGAAACUGAUGUGAUAAUAUCGUUGUCAAUAGGAAGAAAGUAACUAUCCAGUUGUGUUGUAUCCCAUGAACCAUUCAGUGCAAUCAAGUCCCAAACAUAGUGAAUCUACUGCCAUGACCGGGAAAUCAGACUAAAACAGACUAGUUUAGGUAACCAUGGGAUGGGUCCUCAAAAAAAUUAAUAUACUUUUUCUGUUCCCAACUCUAAACCAUAUUCCUUGUUGAAUCAAAAUUCCUUCCCACACAAACGAUGUGUUCCCCAAAGCUAGACUACCCAAGUACUUUAAGAAGCAUAUGCUGUCAUUUAAUCCAAGCCGUCCUUCUAUGAUCAGCUGAUGCCUCCCACCAGAAUUGUAAAAUGACAGAACACAAGUCAUAAUAUAGGGAUUCUGGCAUCUUGAAAAUAUUCAUAUGUAGGAAUUGCUUGUAGUACAACAACAUUUGAUUUAAGGCGACAUUUGGUGCAACUACAAGCAAGAACAAAUGGAAAUUUCUUACCCGUACCCUUUAUAAGGCUGAGUAAUGAAAACAUGCCAGAAUUAUUUCCUCAAUAGGCCUGUCAUAGUUCAAGGAUUGUACUAACUGCGGCAUGAAGAAUGAGCAUGCUGCAAAUUUAAACAACUGCUGAUCCGACAUAUGGUCACCAGUCUUACUGGUGCCAGGCACGGGACACCACUGGCCAUUGAAUCUGAAAGAGCCCCACUUCUGCCUCUAUCAAGCGGCAACAGAACCCACCUUCACAGCCACAGCAUGGAGGAGCUGCUCCUUAACCCGCAUUACAACCUUGAGAAGCCUUCUGUUGUCAAUGGUAAGCAACAUUAUUGCUGGUUUACUUUGCCAAAUUUCCAUCAUUUUGUCCUGGGGUUUUUGGAAUCCAAAGAUGCUACAAUUUUCAACAGCCUAAUAGAAUUCUUCAAUGAUUUCAUAUUUAUCUCUUGACUUUCAACCAAUCUCCUGAUACUCUGAAUUCCAAAUUCCAUAUUGGCAAAAUUUCCACAAUCUGAUGAAUACUUCUUCCUUUUCACGAAACAAGAUUAGCAAUUUUCUCUGCUUGUUUCAUGAAAAUUCUUGUCUCUUAAAUACUGGCCAAGAUAUCCAUUCAAUAUAGAAAUCACAGCUUUAGCUGCAUCAUCAAUUGCAGGCUCAUCUUUUCUUGGGAAUCCCUUCCACUAUAGACUUUA